UCUUUAGCAGAGCAGUCAGAUAAAAUAAUGACUUCAGAAACUGAGAUUCCUAAGGAAACGCACCAUGAUUACGAAGCAUGAAUGCACAGAUUUGCACACGGUGCAGCUGGAUAUCGACAACAGGAGAUUCCCAGAUUUGAGCCUUCAACCAGAUCUAAGGCACAGAGCAGAACAUUAUGACCUGUUGAGGCUUUUCUGAACAGCAGCAAAGCUUUAUUUUAUCAGGUCCUUCAAGGCUUGGCAUAAAAAAGGUUUAACAAGUUUGACACAUGCUGAUUUAGCAUUUAUACCACAAACUGAAUCUGC
Molecule: long non-coding RNA, 306 nt
Filed under: Numida meleagris (helmeted guineafowl)
Lineage: Eukaryota; Metazoa; Chordata; Aves; Galliformes; Numididae
Description: lncRNA (ENSNMEG00000001648.1)
Source: RNAcentral